Molecule: transfer RNA, 30 nt
Filed under: Gyrodactylus pomeraniae
Lineage: Eukaryota; Metazoa; Platyhelminthes; Monogenea; Gyrodactylidea; Gyrodactylidae
Description: partial tRNA-Trp
Source: RNAcentral
AAACAAAAAGUGCAGCAUAUGCACCCCCUG